UGCGCUGGACCGUUUGAGUUAAUUCAUUAAGAUAUGGCUCCAUCGGCUCGCAUACGUGGUUCAAUCUAAACCGUCCGUUGGUUUCGUUUUAUAGAAAUUUUCAACUAAAUUCGGAGCCGAACUGGUAAAUAAUUACCGGAGGUAAAUUCGGUAGAUGAUCAACAAAUCUUUGUCUCGAACUGCUAUAGGAAUCUAAAAUCUUGGCCGUCCGUUUUUUUAUGCUGAUUCAAAUCCACUUUCCCAAGUCAUCUCAUGAGAGGCCCACGUGUACGCCACCGUCCAGAAAUACAAUUAACAUCGACGGUUGAUAUCUAUUACAUCUGACGGUUAUGAAUCAGCCACGCCAUUACGAAUCACCCGGAAUCUAAUGCCAACGAAGCAUUAAUUUUAUGAAAUGCAAACCAAAAGAUUCAAGUUUGUCCUCAAUUAGCAAUAA
Molecule: long non-coding RNA, 436 nt
Organism: Tarenaya hassleriana
Lineage: Eukaryota; Viridiplantae; Streptophyta; Magnoliopsida; Brassicales; Cleomaceae
Exons: 2
Source: RefSeq, a predicted model, not a curated record